This 577-nucleotide long non-coding RNA is filed under the name Olea europaea (common olive). Its description in RNAcentral is "long non-coding RNA (OEUR_LNC003954)". The record is from RNAcentral. Lineage: Eukaryota; Viridiplantae; Streptophyta; Magnoliopsida; Lamiales; Oleaceae.
UAAACGCACAGUCCAUCUCUCAUCAUCUAUUUAGCUAAUCCACUUGCUUUUCAGCCCAAUAAAUACUAAAUCCAACCCACUUAUCACAUAUUAUCACAAUCGGCCCAACACCAUUCAACCCAUGAUCAGUCCCAAAUAUCCAACCAAACCCGAUUAUAACCAAUCCAUUAAAAUCAAAUACCCCACAGUUUCACCCGAUUUCUCUCUCAUAACCACUCUCUUGCCGCUGCCGCCUCUAAUCACCAUCACGCCACCACUUCAUUAUCUAUUGUACCCAGGCAUCUAGAGCACUACCGCUUCAUCGCCAUAGGCCACCACCACCAACCCAAGAUCAUACACUUCCACCACAGUUACCACACUCAUAUAUUUCCUCAUCCAUCUCAACAAUCUAAAAGCCACAGUCACCACACUCAGUUUUACGUCCACACCAGAGCCAGCACAAGUUACAGUCAACAGAGGUUAAAACCAUUGGACACGAAGGGAAGAACAGAAGCAUAGUUGGGGCUUAUAAGUCGGCAAUUCAGAUCAAGCGGCAUACAAAUAAUCAAAACUAAAAAACAGGGAGUCCUUGAUCUCU